GGCAACUUGGCCGAGCGGUCUAAGGCGCCACGUUAAGGAACACAAAUCCUUAAAACCUAUUCUCUCACAAAAGAAUUCCGUGGUCCGAAAGGGCGUGAGUUCGAAUCUCACAGUUGUCA
Molecule: non-coding RNA, 119 nt
Organism: Cladorrhinum sp. PSN332
Lineage: Eukaryota; Fungi; Ascomycota; Sordariomycetes; Sordariales; Podosporaceae
Source: the annotation of a GenBank genome assembly